AACACAUGCAAGUCGAACGGUAACGCGGGUCUUCGGACUUGGCGACGAGUGGCGGACGGGUGAGUAACACGUUGGUACCUACCCUGGAGAGGGGGACAACCGGUGGAAACGUCGGCUAAUACCCCAUAGUCUGGCUAUUUUAGGAUAGCUAGUAAAACUCCGGUGCUCCGGGAGGGGCCAGCGAGCUAUCAGCUAGUUGGUAAGGUAAAAGCUUACCAAGGCGAAGACGGCUAGGGGGCGUGAGAGCGCGACCCCCCACAAUGGGACUGAGACACGGCCCAUACUCCUACGGGAGGCAGCAGUGAGGAAUAUUGCACAAUGGGGGCAACCCUGAUGCAGCAAUGCCGCGUGAGUGAAGAAGGCCUUCGGGUCGUAAAGCUCUUUUCUGUGGGAAGAGAGAGGACGGUACCACAGGAAUAAGUCCCGGCUAACUACGUGCCAGCAGCCGCGGUAAAACGUAGGGGGCAAGCGUUAUCCGGAAUCAUUGGGCGUAAAGCGCAUGUAGGCGGUUCAGCAAGUUGUUUGUGAAAGCUCACGGCUUAACCGAGAGAGGUCAGGCAAAACUGCUGGACUUGAGUAAGGUAGAGGGGUACAGAAUUCCUGGUGUAGUGGUGGAAUGCGUAGAUAUCAGCAGGAAUACCAGAGGCGAAAGCGGUACCCUGGGCCUAAACUGACGCUGAGAUGCGAAAGCGUGGGGAGCGAACGGGAUUAGAUACCCCGGUAGUCCACGCCGUAAACGAUGGAUACUAGGUGUAGCGGGUAUUGACCCCUGCUGUGCCGGAGUAAACGCGAUAAGUAUCCCGCCUGGGGAGUACGGCCGCAAGGCUAAAACUCAAAGGAAUUGACGGGGGCCCGCACAAGCAGCGGAGCGUGUGGUUUAAUUCGAAUACGCGAAGAACCUUACCUGGGUUUGACAUAUAGGUAGUAGUGAAGUGAAAGCGGAACGACCCUUCGGGGAGCCUAUACAGGUGUUGCAUGGCCGUCGUCAGCUCGUGUCGUGAGAUGUUGGGUUAAGUCCCGCAACGAGCGCAACCCUCGUCGUUAGUUACAAGUGUCUAGCGAGACAGCCGGCUUCGGUCGGAGGAAGGUGGGGACGACGUCAAGUCAGCAUGACCUUUAUAUCCAGGGCGACACACACGCUACAAUGGCCGGUACAAUGGGCAGCUAUAUCGCGAGAUAAUGCUAAUCUCCAAAGCCGGUCUCAGUUCGGAUAGCAGUCUGCAACUCGACUGCUUGAAGGUGGAGUUGCUAGUAACCGCGCGUCAGCCACAGUGCGGUGAAUACGUUCCCGGGCCUUGUACACACCGCCCGUCACGUCAUGGAAGCUGGUAACACCUAAAGAGGGUGACCGAACCGCAAGGAAGGAACUCUCUAGGGUGGGACUAGUAACUGGGACGAAGUC
Molecule: ribosomal RNA, 1402 nt
Filed under: metagenome
Description: bacterial SSU rRNA
Rfam family: Bacterial small subunit ribosomal RNA
Source: RNAcentral